AGUACAGUCUAUAGGGUCACACCCAAUCAGUGGUACAAUGUGCGGAGUACAGUCUAUAGGGUCACACCCAAUCAGUGGUACAAUGUGCGGAGUACAGUCUAUAGGGUCACACCCAAUCAGUGGUACAAUGUGCGGGGUACAGUCUAUAGGGUCGCACCCAAUCAGUGGUACAAUGUGCGGAGUACAGUCUAUAGGGUCACACCCAAUCAGUGGUACAAUGUGCGGGGUACAGGGUCACACCCAAUCAGUGGUACAAUGUGCGGGGUACAGGGUCACACCCAAUCAGUGGUACAAUGUGCGGGGUACAGGGUCACACCCAAUCAGUGGUACAAUGUGCGGGGUACAGGGUCACACCCAAUCAGUGGUACAAUGUGCGGGGUACAGUCUAUAGGGUCACACCCAAUCAGUGGUACAAUGUGCGGGUACAGUCUAUAGGGUCGCACCCAAUCAGUGGUACAAUGUGCGGGGUACAGUCUAUAGGGUCACACCCAAUCAGUGGUACAAUGUGCGGGUACAGUCUAUAGGGUCACACCCAAUCAGUGGUACAAUGUGCGGGUACAGUCUAUAGGGUCACACCCAAUCAGUGGUACAAUGUGCGGGGUACAGUCUAUAGGGUCGCACCCAAUCAGUGGUACAAUGUGCGGAGUACAGUCUAUAGGGUCACACCCAAUCAGUGGUACAAUGUGCGGGGUACAGGGUCACACCCAAUCAGUGGUACAAUGUGCGGGGUACAGGGUCACACCCAAUCAGUGGUACAAUGUGCGGGGUACAGGGUCACACCCAAUCAGUGGUACAAUGUGCGGGGUACAGGGUCACACCCAAUCAGUGGUACAAUGUGCGGGGUACAGUCUAUAGGGUCACACCCAAUCAGUGGUACAAUGUGCGGGUACAGUCUAUAGGGUCGCACCCAAUCAGUGGUACAAUGUGCGGGGUACAGUCUAUAGGGUCACACCCAAUCAGUGGUACAAUGUGUGGGGUACCGUCUAUAGGGUCACACCCAAUCAGUGGUACAGUCUAUAGGGUCACACCCAAUCAGUGGUACAAUGUGCGGAGUACAGUCUAUAGGGUCGCACCCAAUCAGUGGUACAAUGUGCGGGUACAGUCUAUAGGGUCACACCCAAUCAGUGGUACAAUGUGCGGGGUACAGGGUCACACCCAAUCAGUGGUACAAUGUGCGGGGUACAGUCUAUAGGGUCACACCCAAUCAGUGGUACAAUGUGUGGGGUACCGUCUAUAGGGUCACACCCAAUCAGUGGUACAGUCUAUAGGGUCACACCCAAUCAGUGGUACAAUGUGCGGAGUACAGUCUAUAGGGUCGCACCCAAUCAGUGGUACAAUGUGCGGGGUACAGUCUAUAGGGUCACACCCAAUCAGUGGUACAAUGUGCAGGGUACAGUCUAUAGGGUCACACCCAAUCAGUGGUACAAUGUGCGGGGUACAGGGUCACACCCAAUCAGUGGUACAAUGUGCGGGGUACAGUCUAUAGGGUCACACCCAAUCAGUGGUACAAUGUGUGGGGUACAGUCUAUAGGGUCACACCCAAUCAGUGGUACAAUGUGCGGGGUACAGGGUCACACCCAAUCAGUGGUACAAUGUGCGGGGUACAGGGUCACACCCAAUCAGUGGUACAAUGUGCGGGGUACAGUCUAUAGGGUCACACCCAAUCAGUGGUACAAUGUGCGGGGUACAGUCUAUAGGGUCACACCCAAUCAGUGGUACAAUGUGCGGGGUACAGUCUAUAGGGUCACACCCAAUCAGUGGUACAAUGUGCGGAGUACAGUC
Long non-coding RNA from Bufo bufo (common toad), 1782 nucleotides. RefSeq lists it as uncharacterized. Lineage: Eukaryota; Metazoa; Chordata; Amphibia; Anura; Bufonidae. The record is from RefSeq and is a predicted model, not a curated record. The transcript is spliced from 4 exons.